RNAcentral lists this transfer RNA (71 nucleotides) under human gut metagenome. It matches the Rfam family "tRNA". Rfam says of the family: Transfer RNA (tRNA) molecules are approximately 80 nucleotides in length. Their secondary structure includes four short double-helical elements and three loops (D, anti-codon, and T loops). Further hydrogen bonds mediate the characteristic L-shaped molecular structure. tRNAs have two regions of fundamental functional importance: the anti-codon, which is responsible for specific mRNA codon recognition, and the 3' end, to which the tRNAs corresponding amino acid is attached (by aminoacyl-tRNA synthetases). tRNAs cope with the degeneracy of the genetic code in two manners: having more than one tRNA (with a specific anti-codon) for a particular amino acid; and 'wobble' base-pairing, i.e. permitting non-standard base-pairing at the 3rd anti-codon position. The record is from RNAcentral.
CCGAUGUAGCUCAGUUGGCCAGAGCACGUGAUUUGUAAUCUCGGGGUCGGGGGUUCAAAUCCCUCCAUCGG